AUAAAACUAUAAUUAACAGAGAAUAACACAAGAGAUUUAUACUGGUUCACCCAAACAAGGGCUAGUCCAGUCCCGACCAACUGCCGGAAUUCACUCGCCUAAAGGUAAUGGCAAAACCUUUCUAAGCUUUAAGGCUACUUCGCUUAGGAACCAGUCUUUUACGGGUAGACUCACACCUUAGAGUAUCAAGGGCACUCUUAAGAACCUCUAACUUUUACGGGUAAGUUAGUACCUUAGAGUAUCAAGGAACUCUUAAAAACCUCUCUAAGCUUUAAGGCUACUUCGCUUAGGAACCAGUCUUUUACGGGUAGACUCACACCUUAGAGUAUCAAGGGCACUCUUAAGAACCUCUAACUUUUACGGGCAAGUUAGUACCUUAGAGUAUCAAGGAACUCUUAAAAACCUCUGAAAUCUUUAAAGGUAGACUCAACCUAAGAGUUUUCCCGGAAACUCUAUAAAACCAAACUAGAGCUUUAUGGUUGAGCUCACAAACCUUCUCUAACACUUUGGUACUAUUGAGACAACCCUCUCAACCAAAGUGGACACACACAAGAGGUGAUUAGAGGAGUGGAAUAUUAAAGCAAACAAUACUUCUUACUUGUAAAGAUGAACAAGAAGAUUAGAAGAAGUUGGAGAGCUUUUGAAGCUUUGGAAAGCUAGGACACUUGAGCACUUGAAAGCUUGGAAGCUUGGAGGCAAAAACGUGUGGGCAAAUGUAGAGUGAAAGCUCUUGAGUUUGUUUGUAGUGUGGUGAGUGAAAAUGAGGGGAUUACCCUUCUAUUUAUAGCCUUGGCCACUCAAUGUCCACCCUUGGAUCUUCAAUGGAUGGCUCCUUGAUUUCUCACAUAAAUCCAAGCUUUGUCUUUGAAUAGUGUUUUCCUUGGAUAGUGUUUUGUCCCCUUGUUGGAGAAUCUUAUCUUUGUUGGAGAAUCUUAUCUUUGUAUAAAUUCAAACUUGAAUAGUGUUUUGUCCCCUUGGAAUAUUAUACCUUGAAUAAAGUGUCAAAAGAUAAUAAUAAUAAUAUUCAAGGUGAAAUGCAAUUAUUCCAAAUAAUAAUAUUCAAGGUGGAAAUGCAAUUAUUCCAAUUAAUAAUAUUCAAGGUGAAAAUGCAAUUCUCCCAAUUAAUAAUAUUCAAGGUGAAAAUGCAAUUCUCCCAAUUUGACUUUUUAACUUUGACUUAAACCCUUAACUCAAAUGAUUAAUUAAUUAACUGGAGUUAGGUUUAUUAUCGAUUGACUUAUUUAACCCCUAUUGAUUAAUAUUGUAAUUAGGGUUUAAAUUGACAUGAUUAAAAUAUAAUCCUAUGUCGACAAUUUUGAUUCUACAUUCUCCCCCUUUGUCGAUGGCAUAUAUGUUUUAACUCAUGUCUAAUCAAUAUUCUAUUUUACCCUUAUGAGCAUGCUCCCUCUGAAUUAUUGACCCAUAAUAUUCAAUUUAAAAGCAGUGGAUCAUGCAUGAUUUCUCCCCCUUAAAACAAUAAGGUAUCGACAAAGUUAAAAAUAGAUACCUGUGAAGUAUCUCCCCCUUAAUGAUAGGACAUAUCUAAUUUGUGGAGAAAAUAAAAUUUCAUACCUCAUUGAGCUUUAAUCACAAAUUCGAUUUGUGUGGUUGACCAAAUGUGACGUCUUGCUUAUAAGAGUGUUAGUCAAUCAUAAAGGAGAAAUAACAUGUAAUUUAUGCUCAUUGAUAAAAUAUUGGAUUUAAGCCAAUUUUGAUAUACAUUAUAAGGCAAGUAUGAUAUGAUAAUUUAGAUUGCCUUGUGCUAAGAUCAUGCAAUGAAUAAUAAUCCAUGUGUGUGUUAUGGAUGAAGAUGAUCUUAACAUGUAUGGAUUAAAGAUUUUAUAAUGUUAUAAUCCAUAAGAUAUUAGUGAAUGAUAUGUAUAAAUCCAUAUUAUUCACUAAUUACUUUAAGGAGAAAUUGAGUAUUUAAAAUUUUAAAAUCUAUGUCUUAGUGACAAAUAUAAUUAUGUAAAUAUUCACUAAGUUUUAAAAGAUUUAAAAUUUUCAUUUCAGUCCUUAAAGCCUUAGUAGUAAAACUUCACUUAAAACAAAAUUUCAUUUAAGCCCUUUGAAGUUAUAAUAAAUACUUAGAUUAAUACUUGAAUUAUUUCAUUUAAACCUUGGAAGUAUUAACUAAUUCUAAGCACUUUUCAAUUUGAAAACUUCAUGUAAAUAUAAAUUUUAAGUCCCUGAAGUUUUAACUAAAUAUUUAUUCACUGUAAAGAUAUCAUUUUGACUCUUAAGUUUUAGUGAAUCUAUUAAAACUUAAAAACUUCAUAAACGAUUUACGUUUAAGUCCUUGAAGUUUCACAAAACUUUAUAUUCACUGAAAAAUAUAAUUUUAAUCCUUAAGUUUCAGUGAAUCAUUUUAAACUUAGAAACUUCAAACAUAAUUUAUGUUUAAGCCCUUGAAGCUUCUAGUUUAUCCAUACAACCCUUAAAUAUUUGAAUCUCUAAAAGAUCUUGAAGAUAUGGAGUUAAUCAUAUUUAUUUAAUGGUUGAAUUUUUGAUGAUUCUUGAUAAUGAACUAUUUGAGAAUCAUAUCUACUUUUAAGUCUUUAAUACUUAGUGAGAAAUUGAUUUUUCAUUGAAGUUUUUCACUAAAAAUAAAGCAAGCUUAGGUCUAUGGUUAGACCUUAAACAAAACAGACUUAAACAAAGUAGAAACAUCUAUUUAACAGAUGUUGCAGUGGUGUUUGAACACCAUCGAUCAAACUAAAAAAGAACAUCUAAAUCAGAUGACAUCGAGUGGGCAUAGCAAGCUAAUCAAAACCAUGGUUGAUGGUGUUAGCUUCCUCAGUGGGAACUUUUAACAUCUCGAUUUGAUAUUGCAAGUCUGCGAUCAGAAUUCCUUGGUUUUUAAUACUUGAUUCCAGCACUUUAAUCCUUGAUUUUGCCUCAUCGAUCUCUUUAAACAGGUGAGUAGUUAUCUCAGAUUGACUUACUUGCUUCUUCCCUGUGAUGAGAUCCAUCACCUUUUUCCAGUCUGGAUCAUAAGAAUCCAUUUUGAAGAUGGUAGGAAUGGGUGAGAAAGGAAGGUUUUGGUUUGAGAGUGAACAACCUAGUAUUUAUAGAUGAAGCUUUUAGGUUUCCAAGAAUUUCUUGUUUUUGGUUUGACUAAGCCAUGAAAAAUCGUUUUAUCUUGUAGUCUCCUUCUCAAAAGAGAGUUCUUUAAUUUCCCAUGUACUGACAUGACUUGUUAGAUUUAACAAGUAAUGAGAUUUUGAAACUAUCAUCUAAGAGCUAGCUAGGAUCUUAGCAAGGCUUGUAUUUUAGUGGCUUGUAACCAGAAUAAUAUUUAAUUUAAAACAUACCUUUUGGUGGCCUUCAAUGCAUUCUUUGCACUAUACACGAUAGUCCAUGCUCCUAGCUGUCGUGAGUGACUAGUUGCGACAGGUUUGCUAGAUGAAGUUGCAACAUCGAUGUUGUAGAAUGUGCAGAAGACGAUUCUCAAUACCAUGAGGUAAGGUUUGGAUUACCAAUACCAUGUGAUGUUGAUUUUGCUCAAGAUAUGACAUAAUGCAGUAUGGGUGCAACAUAAUAUUAAUUUCAUAAUUUUUCCAUAAUUUUUCCAUACAUGUAAGUGAUGACAUGUCAUAUGCAUGAGUCAAUUUAAACAGUAGUAAAGACAUGACAUAUUUUGGCAUAAUCAUUUCAUAAAAUUAUAAUUUUCAUUGUAUACACAUCGUUUGUUCACUUGUAGAUCAUGUAUGUGAAUGAUAAGCAUGUCCAUGUAAACAACUAUUUAUAGUAGCAUGCAAUGUAUUAACAGCGUUCAAUUGUAAGCAUGCAUCUAAUUUAUAGUAACAUGGCAUAUACGAUAGUCAUGCAUUCAAGUUAAACUCUUCACGUUAUGCAUGCAAAUGAUGAAUUAUAUGUAUAUACUUAGUCAUGUAAAUCUUAGAUUUGUAAAUUCAUGCAUACGUAUAUUCAUUUUACUGUGAUCAAAGUUAUAACGAUAUUCAAGUGAAGAAUAAAACUUGAGAUGCAUUAACUCAUAACUAAUCAAAUUUCACUAAGCUCACAUAUACCCAUAGAUCUUCUGAUUUUUGAAUGAACUUCUUGAUCUAAAGGUUUAGUGAAGAUGUCAGCCAUUUGAUCUUCAGUAGAAAUAUAUUCUAGGCAUAUAUUUUUCUUUUCUACAUGAUCUCUAAGGAAAUGAUGUCUGACAUCAAUGUGUUUAGAUCUUGAAUGUAACACAGAGUUUUUUGAUAAACAAAUUGCACUCUUGUUGUCACAUUUAAGAGCUACUGUUUCUAAAGCUAUAUCGUAGUCGGAUAAUGUUUGUUUCAUCCACAAAAUUUGAGUGCAUGCAUUAGAUGCUGCCAUAUAUUCUGCUUCAGUUGUGGAUAAAGCAAUACUAUUUUGCUUUUUACAUGACCAUGCUACGAGUGAGCUUCCCAACAGAAAGCAUGUUCCACUAGUGCUUUUUCUGUCAGUCUUGCAUCCACCAAAGUCAGCAUCACAGUAUGCUGUCAGUGUGAAUGAGUUGUCCUUAGGGUAGAAUAAUCCAAGUGUAAUUGUUCCUUUGAUAUACCUGAUUAUUCUUUUAACCGCUUUGAGAUGUGACUCUUUUGGGUCUGAUUGGAAUCUGGCACAUAAGCAGACUGCAAACAUGAUGUCUGGUCUACUGGCUGUUAGGUGUAGCAGUGAUCCAAUCAUUCCUCUGUAUUUCUUAAUGUCUACUGAUUCCUACAUCUUUGUCCAAUUUAAGAGUUGAACUCAUCGGAGUUGGCAUAGAUUUAGAUUCAGUCAAGUCAAAUUUCUUUAUCAAUUCCUUAGCAUAUUUGACUUGACUUAGGAAUAUUCCAUUCUCCUUCUGUUUGACUUGUAGACCUAAGAAAAAAGUCAACUCUCCCAUCAUACUCAUUUCAAAUUCGUCUUCCAUUUGUUUGGAAAAUUUCUUACAUAGAGUAUCAUCUGUUGAUCCAAAUAUAAUGUCAUCAACAUAGAUUUGAAUUAGAAUAAUGUCACUUUUGACAUUUUUAAUGAACAAUGUAUUAUCUAUACUCCCCAUUCUAAAUUCCUGAGAAGUGAGAAAGUUUCUUAGUCUUUCAUACCAAGCUCGGGGUGCUUGUUUCAGACCAUAGAGGGCUUUCUUAAGUUUAAGGACAUGAUCAGGGUUUUUGUAAUCUUCGAAACCAGGGGGUUGUCUAACAUAUACUUGUUCAUUGACUAUUCCAUUCAAGAAUGCACUCUUUACAUCCAUUUGAUAUAAUUUGAAAUCUUUGUAACAUGCAAAGGAUAGGAGCAUUCUGAUAGACUCUAGUCUAGCUACUGGUGCAAAGGUUUCAUCAUAAUCAAUUCCUUCUUGUUGAUUGUAUCCUUGCGCAACCAGUCUAGCUUUGUUUCUGACUAUAGUUCCAUCUUCAUCCAGCUUAUUUCUGAAUACCCAUCUUGUCCCAAUGAUUGAUGUAUCUUUUGGUUUUGGAACUAGUUCCCAUACAUCAUUUCUCUCAAAUUGGUUGAGUUCUUCUUGCAUAGCUUGAAUCCAGUAGUUGUCGUCGAGGGCUUCAUCAACUUUCUUGGGCUCAAUUUGAGAGACAAAACAGUCAAGAACACUGUUUCCUUGAAUGGAUGAUCUGGUUUUAACGCCAGCUUGAUGGUCACCAAUGAUUUGAUCAGUGGAAUGUGGAUUCCUGAGCAGCCUGUUGGAUUGAGGCUCAAAGACUUCGAUUUCGUCAUUGGUAGUUUCUUCAGUUGGAAUGAUGAUUUCUUCUGGAACUAUUUCAUCUUCUUCUACAAUGGUUGUCUGAGUGGAUUCAUCAAAGUCAACGUGUAAUGAUUCGAUCAUUAUAUGUUUUUCUUUGAGAAGAAUUUUGUAGGCUUUGCUCCUUCUAGAGUAUCCUACCAGGAUACCUUCAUCAGAUUUCUGAGCAAAUUUGUCUUGGUUGCCUCUUGUUCGGAGAACAUAACAUUUGCAUCCAAAGAUCUUGAAGUGUGAGACUUUUGGCUUUCUUCCAUUCCAGAUCUCAUAUGGAGUUUUGUUCAAGGUUUUUCUAAUAAUCACCUUGUUUAAUAUAUAACAGGCUGUGUUAACAGCUUCUGCCCAGAGAUACUGUGGUGAAUCAUGUUCUUGUAACAUGGAUCUACUCAUCUCUUGUAGAGUUCUGUUUUUCCUUUCAACAACUCCAUUCUGAGGGGGUGCUUGAGGAAAAGCAAAUUCUUGUUUUAUUCCAUGAGUUUUGCAAAAUUCUUCGUACUCAGAGUUCUCGAAUUCUCCUCCAUGAUCACUUCUGAUUCUUUUUAUGAGAACAUCCUUUUCAUUUUGUACACGUGUACAAAAUGAUGAGAACUCGUUGAAUAAGUCACUUUGAUUUCGUAAGAAGAAAACCCAAGUAAAUCUUGAGUAAUCAUCUACUAUUACAUACGUAAACCUUUUUCCGCCAAGACUUUGGGUUUGGGUUGGCCCAAAUAAGUCCAUGUGUAGAAGUUCCAAAGGUCUGGAUAUAGUAAUAUCUGUAAGGGAUUUGAAUGAGCUUUUAUGCUGUUUCCCUUUUUGACAAGCAUCACAGAGAUUACUUUUCUCAUAUGCUAUUUUAGGCAGUCCAGUCACCAAUUCUUCUUUUGAUAGUUUGGAUAAUCGAGAAUAACUGGUGUGACCUAAUCUUCUAUGCCAUAAAGUCUUUUCAUCACUUGCUGCAAUCAUGCAGAAGUCAUAAGUUGGCUUGGAGGGAUUAAAGGUUAUCGAAUAAGCAUUGUUUUUCCUAUAUCCUUUAGCAAUUAUAACUCCCUUGGAGUUAAUGAUUGAGCAUAAAUGUUUUUCAAAUUUAACUGUGCAAUCAUUAUCACAUAAUUGGCUUAUGCUGAUAAGAUUAUGUUUAAUGCCAUUUACUAAGUAAACAUCUCUAAGAAAUGGUCUAUCUAUAUUACCUAUAUUACCCCUACCUAUAAUGGUACCUUCGUUGUUAUCGGCGAACUUGACCUUCUUAGUAGUAGCCCAGUCGGUCAAGUCUGUCAGCAGACUUGAAUCUCCAGUCAUGUGCCUUGUGCAUCCACUGUCGAACAACCAUUUUGAUACAUGUUUUUCCUGAAAGAGUUGAAUAACCUUUUGGUACCCAUACUGAGUUGGGUCCAGAUGAAUUAACAUAGUUGAUUUGCUUAUAAUUUUUUAACUCAUCCUUGGUCAUCCAUUUUUGUUUUGGAUGAUUCAUCUUAGAUAGAUCUUUCUUUUUCUUAAGAUGAAUAGGUUUUCUGUAGCUAGAUUCUCUUACAAAAUAAUCAUUAUAAGUUAAAGCAUGUAAAGGUUUUUUAAUAGGUGCAUUUGAUUCAAACCCUAAUCCAAAUUUCUUUUGACCUGAGCUUGAACCUUGCAACAUGUCAUUUAGCUUAGAUGAACUAUUUAAGAAUUUUUCAAGAACAUUAUUCUUCUGACCUAUUCUUUUGAUUUGUAAUUGCAUAUCAUUACAUUUUUCAGAUAAUUUUUGUAUGGUUUCUACAUGCUCAAGUAUGAUUUUGUCCUUAGAUUCUAUUUCUGUUUUGAGCAUGAUUGUUUCUUUUUCUUUUAACAUAAUAUCUUCUUCAAAAUUAUCUAUUUUUAAUUCUAGCAAUUCAAUUUUAUCAUCAUCUAUUCCUUAGGUUGAUUUUCUUCAGAUUCUAAAAUGUUAAGCAAUUCAAAGUUUUGACUCUUAAGUAUCUUAAUUUUUACUUCAUCUUUGUUUAAUUUACUUGUGAGUUUUAGAUUUCUUUCUUUCAAUUGCAUGCAUUCUUUUUGUGAUUCUUCUAAUUCAAUAGAUUGAUCUAUAUGUGAUUUAUUCAUGCAUUCUAGUUUUAAUGACUUAGUUAAUUUUUUCUCAUUUUUAUAUUUUUCCAUUAAUUUUAGAUAUGCUUCUUCUAAAGAAUUAAAUCUAGUAUUUGCAAAACUUACCUCAGAGUUGCUUUCAUGAGCCAUGAGACAAUCUUCUUAAUCCGAGUCGGAGUCUGCCCAUUGUGCCUGAUUUGCUCUUUCUUUCUUUAGCAGAGGACAUUUUGGUUUGAUGUGUCCAGACUUGUCGCAUAGAUAACAGAUUGGUUCUUUUGACUCCUUGCUCAUUCUUCUGUCGAACUUCUGAUGACUUGACCUUGAGUCUUUCUUCUCUUUCCUUUUUUCAGAUAUCUUCUCAGAUGAUUGGUGAUCAUUGCUAGAUCAUCUUCUGAUGUUUCAUUGUCAGAUUGACUUUUAAGAGCAAUAUCCUUUUUCUCUUCUUUAGCUCUAGAGAUGAAUCUUUCUUCUUCAUAGACCAUCAGAUUUCCACAGAGUUCCACAACUGUAAGUUUGUUGAGAUCAUGAGCCUCUUGGAUAGCAUUCCUUUUGGAGUAGUACUUGUUUGGAAGGCUCCUCAGAAUUUUGCUUACUUGCUUCUUCUCAGUUACUGGAUUUCCUAGUCCAGCCAGAUCAUUAACUAUUUGUGAUAGUCUAAUGUUCAUCUCUGCAAUAGUCUCGUCUUCCUUCAUAGAGAAUCUUUCGAACUGAGAGGUAGCAUGUAACAGCUUGUUUUCUUUAACAUGGGAGGUUCCUUCAUGUAGAUCCUCCAAUGCUUUCCAUACCUUGUGAGCUGUAUCCAAGCAUCGAAUUCUGAUGUACUCAGAUUCAUUGAGUGCUCCAUAUAGAGCAUUCAAUGCUCUUGAGUUGUUAUUUUCCUUGAGGGUGUCCAUUUCUCCCCAAGUCUCUUCAUUGCUUGUUGGAAUUUCAUAAUCCUCUAAUAUGAUCUUCCAUACUCCAUUGUUGUUUGACUUCAAGUAUAACUUCAUCUUGUUCUUCCAGAAGUCAUACUUUACUCCAUCGAACCUGGGAGGUUUGUUUGACGCAAGACCAGUGUUGAAUUCACCAUUUGGUGCCAUAGUUGUUGUUGUAAGAUGUUAGUCAAACUUCAACGGUACUUGACUCUGAUACCACUUAUUGGAUCGUGAUCCGAGGCUAUAAGGGGGGAUAAUAGUCUCUUUUCGAUUUAUACAGGUUGAUUGCUGAAUUACCUGUAAACACUUAAUAAACAAAUGGUUGAACAAUAAUGAUAUAGAGAUAUUAUGACUUUGAUUGAUCCGAGGCUAUCCGAGCAAUCCUCUAAUAUGAUCUUACUAUAGUUGUUUGUAAAACACUAUCAAGCAAGUUGACUCAGUAUUCAUAUACUAUGGUAAGCUUCGAAGAGUAAUAAUUACGUUAUUAUCCCCCCUUAUAGCCUCGGAUCACGAUCCAACAAGUGUUUAUUAAGUAUAUGAGUACUAAGUUAUAUUGUAAACACAAAUUGUAUUGUAGAGUAAAUGACCAGAUAACUGGAUAUAUAUGAUAAGUAAAUGCUUGAACAAAUAUAUGAAUAAGGAUUUAAAGCAAUGAAUAUAACCUCAGAUAGUUGACCAGAUAACUGGAUGAGAGAUCUACGUAAAGUAGUUAACCUCUGUAUUUGACCAGAUAACUGGAAGAGGGAUCCUUUUCAAUUAAGUGUUGUUUAGUUGUUUUUAGAUGAAAGAUAAAAACUAAAGUUAACAAAGAACAAUACAAGAGAUUUAUACUGGUUCACCCAAACAAGGGCUAAUCUAGUCCCGACCAACUGUCGGAAUUCACUCGCCUAAAGGUUAUGGCAAAACCUUAGAGUAUCAAGGAAACUUUUAAGAACCUCUCUAAGCUUUAAGGCUACUUCGCUUAGGAACCAGUCUUUUACGGGUAGACUCACACCUUAAAGUAUCAAGGGCACUCUUAAGAACCUCUAACUUUUGCGGGUAAGUUAGUACCUUAGAGUAUCAAGGAACUCUUAAAAACCUCUCUAAGCUUUAAGGCUACUUUGCUUAGGAACCAGUCUUUUACGGGUAG
Molecule: long non-coding RNA, 9784 nt
Filed under: Zostera marina
Lineage: Eukaryota; Viridiplantae; Streptophyta; Magnoliopsida; Alismatales; Zosteraceae
Description: long non-coding RNA (ZMAR_LNC003773)
Source: RNAcentral